Long non-coding RNA from Rana temporaria (common frog), 211 nucleotides. RefSeq lists it as uncharacterized. Lineage: Eukaryota; Metazoa; Chordata; Amphibia; Anura; Ranidae. The transcript is spliced from 3 exons. The record is from RefSeq and is a predicted model, not a curated record.
GAUUCUUUCCUGAUAGUAUUUAUGAUCUAGUGGCUAGGCUUAUUUAAAGAGAGCACUUGUCAGAGAAACAGAGAUAAAGAGAACUUGUUGUCUGUCAAAUGUCUUCGAGAGCUUAUUUAAGAAAAUGGAAACAGAGAAAGUUAUGAAAAUCGCUGUCCUGUCCUCUCUGGUAGUUUGACUGGCUAAGGAAAUUAUGUUUUACAAAAAUAUA